GGGGAAUAUUGCACAAUGGGGGAAACCCUGAUGCAGCGACGCCGCGUGGAGGAAGAAGGUCUUCGGAUUGUAAACUCCUGUUGUUGAGGAAGAUAAUGACGGUACUCAACAAGGAAGUGACGGCUAACUACGUGCCAGCAGCCGCGGUAAAACGUAGGUCACAAGCGUUGUCCGGAAUUACUGGGUGUAAAGGGAGCGCAGGCGGGAAGACAAGUUGGAAGUGAAAUCUAUGGGCUCAACCCAUAAACUGCUUUCAAAACUGUUUUUCUUGAGUAGUGCAGAGGUAGGCGGAAUUCCCGGUGUAGCGGUGGAAUGCGUAGAUAUCGGGAGGAACACCAGUGGCGAAGGCGGCCUACUGGGCACCAACUGACGCUGAGGCUCGAAAGUGUGGGUAGCAAACAGGAUUAGAUACCCUGGUAGUCCACACCGUAAACGAUGAUUACUAGGUGUUGGAGGAUUGACCCCUUCAGUGCCGCAGUUAACACAAUAAGUAAUCCACCUGGGGAGUACGACCGCAAGGUUGAAACUCAAAGGAAUUGACGGGGGCCCGCACAAGCAGUGGAGUAUGUGGUUUAAUUCGACGCAACGCGAAGAACCUUACCAAGUCUUGACAUCCCUUGACGAUACUGGAAACAGUAUUUCUCUUCGGANCCAAGAGACAGGUGGUGCAUGGUUGUCGUCAGCUCGUGUCGUGAGAUGUUGGGUUAAGUCCCGCAACGAGCGCAACCCUUAUGGUCAGUUACUACGCAAGAGGACUCUGGCCAAACUGCCGUUGACAAAACGGAGGAAGGUGGGG
This 796-nucleotide ribosomal RNA is filed under the name uncultured bacterium. Its description in RNAcentral is "bacterial SSU rRNA". It matches the Rfam family "Bacterial small subunit ribosomal RNA", at positions 356 to 1178 of the family's 1533-position model. The record is from RNAcentral.